GACGAACGCUGGCGGCGUGCUUAACACAUGCAAGUCGAACGGAAAGGCCCUGCUUAUGUGGGGUGCUCGAGUGGCGAACGGGUGAGUAACACGUGAGUAACCUGCCCUUGACUUUGGGAUAACUUCAGGAAACUGGGGCUAAUACCGGAUAGGAGUUCCUGCUGCAUGGUGGGGGUUGGAAAGUUUCGGCGGUUGGGGAUGGACUCGCGGCCUAUCAGCUUGUUGGUGGGGUAGUGGCUUACCAAGGCUUUGACGGGUAGCCGGCCUGCGCGGGGGACCGGCCACAUUGGGACUGGAAUGAGGCCCAGACUCCUACGGGAGGCAACAGUGGGGAAUAUUACACAAUGGGCGGAAGCCUGAUGCAGCAACGCCGCGUGCGGGAUGACGGCCUUCGGGUUGUAAACCGCUUUCGCCUGUGACGAAGCGUGAGUGACGGUAAUGGGUAAAGAAGCACCGGCUAACUACGUG
This 468-nucleotide ribosomal RNA is filed under the name uncultured bacterium. Its description in RNAcentral is "partial 16S ribosomal RNA". It matches the Rfam family "Bacterial small subunit ribosomal RNA", at positions 28 to 507 of the family's 1533-position model. The record is from RNAcentral.